AGAGUUUGAUCAUGGCUCAGAACGAACGCUGGCGGCGUGGAUAAGACAUGCAAGUCGAACGCUCAUUUCAGGGUAGCAAUAUUCUGAAGUGGGAGUGGCGCAAGGGUGCGUAACACGUGGGUAAUCUGCCAUGAAGUUUGGGAUAACUCGCUGAAAGGCGAGCUAAUACCGGAUACGACAAUCGGGAGGCAUCUCUUGAUUUUCAAAGCUGGGGACCGCAAGGCCUGGCGCUUUUUGAUGAACCCGCGGCCUAUCAGCUAGUUGGUGAGGUAACGGCCCACCAAGGCUAAGACGGGUAGCUGGUCUGAGAGGACGACCAGCCACACUGGAACUGAGACACGGUCCAGACACCUACGGGUGGCAGCAGUCGAGAAUUUUUCACAAUGGGCGAAAGCCUGAUGGAGCGACGCCGCGUGGGGGAUGAAUGGCUUCGGCCCGUAAACCCCUGUCAUUUGCGAACAAACGUUGUUAUUUAAAAGAUGGCAGCUUGAUGGUAGCGAAAGAGGAAGGGACGGCUAACUCUGUGCCAGCAGCCGCGGUAAUACAGAGGUCCCAAGCGUUGUUCGGAUUCACUGGGCGUAAAGGGUGCGUAGGUGGCGGGGUAAGUCUGAUGUGAAAUCUCCAAGCUUAACUUGGAAAUGGCAUUGGAAACUACUUUGCUUGAGGGUUGGAGGGGGGACUGGAAUACUUGGUGUAGCAGUGAAAUGCGUAGAUAUCAAGUGGAACACCAGUGGCGAAGGCGAGUCCCUGGACAACUCCUGACACUGAGGCACGAAAGCUAGGGGAGCAAACAGGAUUAGAUACCCUAGUAGUCC
This 815-nucleotide ribosomal RNA is filed under the name uncultured bacterium. RNAcentral describes it as "bacterial SSU rRNA". It matches the Rfam family "Bacterial small subunit ribosomal RNA", at positions 8 to 796 of the family's 1533-position model. The record is from RNAcentral.